Molecule: non-coding RNA, 319 nt
Organism: Brachypodium distachyon (stiff brome)
Lineage: Eukaryota; Viridiplantae; Streptophyta; Magnoliopsida; Poales; Poaceae
Source: RefSeq, marked provisional
GGGCAGCGACGAGGUCAUUGUCAGACAUGGGAAGUCCCACGUCAGCCCUCGGCCAGAUCAUCGGAGACCUCCUUAAUCUUGGUGCAAUGGUCAAUGAUGGAGCCCUUGCACGAUGCGAUGAAGUUUGUGCAACGUCUCCACGAUGGCCUAGGCCAUAGGAAUGGUCGCCUUUUGGUCCAUGAUCAUGCCGAAGACGGAGGAGGAAACUGUGGAGUGGAUUCACGAACAAAUCGAUGAUCCGCCAAUUGUUGUCCUUGAGGUCAAUGUGGUUCCUGAUGUCAUACUUCUCGAUCUGUAGACCGAUCUAGUAGCGCUAGUG